Molecule: long non-coding RNA, 2566 nt
Organism: Salvelinus fontinalis (brook trout)
Lineage: Eukaryota; Metazoa; Chordata; Actinopteri; Salmoniformes; Salmonidae
Exons: 3
Source: RefSeq, a predicted model, not a curated record
AUGAAUUCCAUUCCAGCCAUUACAUUGAGCCCGUCCUACUAUAGCUCCUCCCACCAGCCUCCACUGACUUGUUUAUAUCCCUGACAGAUAUUAUGUAUGUGUAUUUCUCAGGUAUUCUUGCCAUUAUGUUUAUGUAUAUAAUAUUCCUUACCACUCUUUAUGCAUAUUCUUUCCUGUAUGUUUAUGCCUAUUUACAGUUAUUUCCUAUUGGACAAUGUCAUUACUAUGUUAUUGGUGUUUCAUUGUAUGUCUAUUUCCUUUUCUCCUAUAGAAACAACAUGUUUGAUUCCGUUCCAUGAAUUCCAUUCCAGCCAUUACAAUGAGCCCGUCCUACUAUAGCUCCUCCCACCAGCCUCCACUGACUUGUUUAUAUCCUGUAUGUUUAUGCCUAUUUACAGUUAUUUCCUAUUGGACAAUGUCAUUACUAUGUUAUUGGUGUUUCAUUGUAUGUCUAUUUCCUUUUGUCCUAUAGAAACCACAACUAGGACCACACAUACUUAUGCUACAAUCUAUUGUGCUUCUGGCUCAGUUUCAGUUUAAAGUGUUAAUGCAGGGAUACAGGAGUGAUGGAGGUAGAUGUGUAUAGGGGUAAGGUGACUAUAUACAAAGUCAGUUCCAGUACCAUAUUUACAAUGUGCAGGGAUACUGGAGUGAUGGAGGUAGAUGUGUGUAGGGGUAAAGGUGACUCGGCCUCAGGAUAGAUGAUAAACAGAGUAGCAGCAGCAUAUUUGGUAAUUGUAUGUGAGUGUUUGUGUGUGUAGAGUCAGUAUAAAUGUGUGUGCAUGUUAUAUGUGUGUGAGCAGAUGAAGUGUGUGUGUGUGUUGGAGUGUCAAUGUGUGUGAGUAUGUAGAGUACUGUGAGUGUGCAUAGUGACUAAAUGCAAGAGUCAACUCAGAUAUUCUGUGUAGCCAUGUUGUUAGCUAUUUAGUUAUUUAUUUAGCUUAUGGCUUGGGUAAAGAAGCCGUUCAGGAGCUUAUUGCUGUCAGACUUGUUGUUCUGGUCCCGCUUGCAGUGCGGAAGCAGAGAGAACAGUCUUUGGCUUGGGUGGCUGGAGUCUUUAACAAUUGUCUGGUCCUUCCUUUCACACCGCCUGAUAUAGAGAUCCUCGAUGGCAGGGAGCCCGGCGCCAGUCUUGUACCGGGCUGUCCGCACCACCUUCUGUAGCGCCAUGCGAUUGAGGUCGGUGCUGUUGCCAUGCCAAGCAGUGAUGCAGCCAGUAAAGAUGCUCUCAAUGGUGCAGCUAUAUAACUUUUUGAGGAUCUGAGGGCCUGUCAUGCCAAAUAGUGUCCCCCUGCCAAAAAGGGCCCACCCCUGCGUCACAAUGAUAUUCAAUAGCUUCCGUUGCUGGGGCUUUUGCCAGAACUUGCAAAAUCCUUACCUCAGAAUCGCUCUCCAAGGAAGGUGUUUUUGACGGUGAUUACCUGCUCACUAGCUACCGCUUCAGGAGACCGAAAAGACUGUGAAGUACUCUGAAGGCACCACUGAUCUCGACAAGGGGCGCAACAUUCGUUGCGGGCAGAGAAAUUCACAAUUCGGGUUAAAGUUAAGCAGGACCUAGGGGUUCUGCCCAACACCUAGACAUGGAUCCACCUGAUGUCCUCCAUUACCUGUUCUCCAGGACCUAGGGGUUCUGCCCAACACCCAGACAUGGAUCCACCUGAUGUCCUCCAUUACCUGUUCUCCAGGACCUAGGGGUUCUGCCCAACACCCAGACGUGGAUCCACCUGAUGUCCUCCAUUACCUGUUCUCCAGGACCUAGGGGUUCUGCCCAACACCCAGACAUGGAUCCACCUGAUGUCCUCCAUUACCUGUUCUCCAGGACCUAGGGGUUCUGUCCAACACCUAGACAUGGAUCCACCUGAUGUCCUCCAUUACCUGUUCUCCAGGACCUAGGGGUUCUGCCCAACACCCAGACAUGGAUCCACCUGAUGUCCUCCAUUACCUGUUCUCCAGGACCUAGGGGUUCUGUCCAACACCUAGACAUGGAUCCACCUGAUGUCCUCCAUUACCUGUUCUCCAGGACCUAGGGGUUCUGCCCAACACCCAGACAUGGAUCCACCUGAUGUCCUCCAUUACCUGUUCUCCAGGACCUAGGGGUUCUGCCCAACACCUAGACAUGGAUCCACCUGAUGUCCUCCAUUACCAACCACCCUCCAACUGUUUAUUACAUCAUCUACAGCUACUGUUAUUGUCAUGUUGUCAUUAUCUGCUAAGAAAGAGCAAGAAAACUAUCAUACUGGGCACAUAAUAUGAGAUACACAGAUUAACUAAAAGCACUAGCACUGCAAACACUCAGAACAAAGAGAAUAGCAGUGCCUGGACUUUGCAGUCUUCCUCUUCAAGUCCCCCUUCUGAGACUGGCUGCCUGUUGAGAACAAGUGACAGCCAGAACCUCCCACCCACACAGCAACCACCUCCUCUGUAUUCCACACACCAGAAGUCAGUAUUUUAGACUAUGAUUGCCAUGUGAGUACACAACAAAUCUGUGAAAAUAAAUGAAUGACACAACUGUACCAAAAAACUACCAAAGUUUAAGUAUUAAAAUCUUAAAUAAUGCCAGGUUGGU